This 492-nucleotide ribosomal RNA is filed under the name uncultured bacterium. RNAcentral's name for it is "partial 16S ribosomal RNA". It matches the Rfam family "Bacterial small subunit ribosomal RNA", at positions 29 to 507 of the family's 1533-position model. The record is from RNAcentral.
AGUGAACGCUGGCGGUAGGCCUAACACAUGCGAGUCGAACGGCAGCACAGUAAGAGCUUGCUCUUACGGGUGGCGAGUGGCGGACGGGUGAGGAAUACAUCGGAAUCUACUUUUUCGUGGGGGAUAACGUAGGGAAACUUACGCUAAUACCGCAUACGACCUACAGGUGAAAGCAGGGGAUCUUCGGACCUUGCGCGAUUGAAUGAGCCGAUGUCGGAUUAGCUAGUUGGCGGGGUAAAGGCCCACCAAGGCGACGAUCCGUAGCUGGUCUGAGAGGAUGAUCAGCCACACUGGAACUGAGACACGGUCCAGACUCCUACGGGAGGCAGCAGUGGGGAAUAUUGGACAAUGGGCGCAAGCCUGAUCCAGCCAUACCGCGUGGGUGAAGAAGGCCUUCGGGUUGUAAAGCCCUUUUGUUGGGAAAGAAAAGCAGCAGGUUAAUACCCCGCUGUUCUGACGGUACCCAAAGAAUAAGCACCGGCUAACUUCGUG